Molecule: long non-coding RNA, 90 nt
Organism: Octopus sinensis (East Asian common octopus)
Lineage: Eukaryota; Metazoa; Mollusca; Cephalopoda; Octopoda; Octopodidae
Exons: 3
Source: RefSeq, a predicted model, not a curated record
GUAGAUGAUGCCCUUGUGGCUGAAAAAGGGGAUCAUCAUGAGCUUCCUGGUGGACUUGCAUUGCUUGGCUUCCUUGGGCCUGGAGAGUCU